GAUGAACGCUAGCUACAGGCUUAACACAUGCAAGUCGAGGGGUAACGAGAGGAAAGCUUGCUUUCCUUGUCGACGACCGGCGCACGGGUGAGUAACGCGUAUCCAACCUGCCCCCAACUAGGGAAUAACCUUGCGAAAGUAAGACUAAUACCCUAUAAUUUCCUCAGAUGUCAUCUGACGAGGAAUAAAGAUUUAUCGGUUGUGGAUGGGGAUGCGUCUGAUUAGCUUGUUGGCGGGGUAACGGCCCACCAAGGCAACGAUCAGUAGGGGUUCUGAGAGGAAGGUCCCCCACAUUGGAACUGAGACACGGUCCAAACUCCUACGGGAGGCAGCAGUGAGGAAUAUUGGUCAAUGGGCGGAAGCCUGAACCAGCCAAGUAGCGUGCAGGAUGACGGCCCUAUGGGUUGUAAACUUCUUUUAUACAGGAAAAAAGUUAGCCACGUGUGGUUAUUUGUAGGUACUGUAUGAAUAAGGACCGGCUAAUUCCGUGCCAGCCGCCGCAGUAA
Molecule: ribosomal RNA, 506 nt
Filed under: uncultured bacterium
Lineage: Bacteria
Description: partial 16S ribosomal RNA
Rfam family: Bacterial small subunit ribosomal RNA
Source: RNAcentral